GCAGGGUCAGAAUCAUUACUCCAUUUUACGGAUGCCGGAUGUCUUCUCAGCUAAUCCUCCCAUCCAAUCCUCUGGGAAGCCUUUCAGGAUGCCCCACCCCGACUUAUCGCUGCCUUCUCUGAACUGCCAGCAAUGGACCUCAGUGGGGCGGAGGAUCAGCUUUCAUCUCCUUGCAGACACCUGGGGUGCUCCCAUGAGUUCCCAGCCUUUUUUCCACCCCCACCUUGCACAGAGGCCUCCCCCACAGGAGAGAGUGAGAUGAGGGAACAAAGGUGGCAGAACUUGCACAAUCCUGCAGCUAAGAAGUAGAGGAGCAGAGAUCUGAACCAAGAGACAGUCCUCAAGGCUUGUGCUCCCAAGCACGUCCCUCCACUACCUCCCUUCACGAUACUCAGUGGCACGGGUUAGGACGCCAGGCAUGGAUGAUGUGCCCACUGACCUCAGGCCUUGAAUAACAAGGAUUUCACUGCACGUAGAAGUAGGGGUAGGGCACAGCCAAGCAGAGAAGGACACCAGGAGCACUCUGUGGACUCAAUCCUCCCCAGGCCCAAGAGAGCUGAGGCACGUUCUUCUCUGGCCCCCCAUGGCAGCUACAGCUUGAAGGGACUCAAGAUAAUCUGCAACCAACUUCCUCACUAGGGGUCUCUUUUGUUCACUGAACACCCCUUUCUCAAGCAAGGCUGGGUCCCUCAGCAAGCUCUGGUCACGAGCACCAGGAGAGACCAAGAAGUUGCAAACUUACAAUAAUGCCUACACAUCAAGCCUGUUGGAGACACCUUCACGGAAGAAAGUGCUUCCUACAGUCUAGGCUCAAUUCCCCACUCCUCUCCUGCUCCACCACGGCCCAGGGCUUCCCCCCAGCCUGGCACUUCAUGCCUAGGCCACUCUGAACUCCUAUAGUGCUAAGUGAACAAAAUCCUGCUUGCCCUUACCUUGAGGCCUUUGCAAAUGCUCUUCCAUCUUCCUAGUGCUGUCCCUCAACUCAGCCUGAAGUGGCUCUUCCUUAUAAGGCCAGCCCCAAUGGCCCCUCCUCCUAAAUACCUUCCUGCGACAUUAACACAGGUAGGAAAGACUCGGAGCUUCCAUCCACGUGGUCACUGGCUCUGUCCAUCUGCCCCCAGGGGUGUCAUGUUUGGUAGGGCCAGUGAACGGCUGCUGAAUGAAUGAAUGAUGAGUCCUGAUCUCCCUCCUCUGUUCCCUCUCCCUGGAUGACUUCACUCACUCACCUAUGGGAGAGUCAGAGGCUGACAGUGCCUCUGCCUCCAAUUCCCCCUCUUGUCCUCUGAGACCCUCCCUUUCACACGUACAGCCCACUCUCAUAAAACCAAGAGACUCACAGCCCUUCUGCAUUGGUAGGAAGUUCUUCCUGCUGUCUGUCCUCACUCCCUUAUUUGACCAUGCCUGCUUCUUUAUCAUUAUUUUUGGAGAGGAGUCAGGGCCUGCACCCAUCUCAGAUUUUUGUUAAUAAAGGCUGCGCAUUUCUCCCACUCUCUGCCUAGAUGUGUUCUUGCCACUCCUGGAUCAUUGUGCCCCAGCCUGGCCCUACUUCAGGGGACAGUGACACAGGACGGAGAAAGGACAUAAGGCCAGGCUGGGUAGCCUGGAGUUGCUGGGCCCUGCGGAGAAGACCCAGGACAGAUAUAACCACCACAAGGGAAGGGCUGCCCAGGAGGGAAGAGAUGAACAUCCUAUGUCCGGGGGUAUACAAACAGCAGGCUGGAUAGAUCUGCAGGGCAAGUUGUAGAGAGUACUAAAACAACUGCUAGAA
RNAcentral lists this long non-coding RNA (1768 nucleotides) under Homo sapiens (human). RNAcentral describes it as "HSALNT0363702". The record is from RNAcentral. Lineage: Eukaryota; Metazoa; Chordata; Mammalia; Primates; Hominidae.